Long non-coding RNA from Macadamia integrifolia, 576 nucleotides. RefSeq lists it as uncharacterized. The record is from RefSeq and is a predicted model, not a curated record. The transcript has 3 exons. NCBI's taxonomy places the organism in Eukaryota, Viridiplantae, Streptophyta, Magnoliopsida, Proteales, Proteaceae.
UAAAAAGGGAAGUGUCGGCUGAGACUCCCAUUUUUGCUGCUGCAACCAAAAUGAAAACAGAGAGGGAGAAGAAGGAAAGAAGAAGGCAAAGAAGGAAGGAAGGAAGGAAGGAAGGAAGGAAGAAGUAUAAGAAGAAGAAGAAGAAGAGAGAAAGCUGCACCUACCACUGACGCGGCUGCUACUCCUCUGCUUUGCUGCUGCUGCUCUUCCAUCUAUGUUGUUAGAGGAAGAAAAGGUUGCCAGAGGACAUUGCCAUAGCUGGGGAGUUGACCUCAGAGCUAGCAAACUGUUGCUUGUGAUGCAUGCAUACUUCAAGAACAUAAGAGAGUUCUCGGACUGAAGACUGGAAACACGACCAGGUUUUGGCUUGCGGCCACCCAUUCAUGUUUGUGUAUCACAUGCCAGUCUAACUGGAGGGGACUUUUACCUUUCGAUCCAAGACGAUGAUGAUGCAGGUAUCGUGGUGCCUAUGGUGUGUGACCUAGUAUCUUCUAGGUCAGAGUAUAGUGUGAGCGACUAGUGGAUGCUAGAAGCAGGAGAGCAUGAUCAGGACUGUGCUUGCGACCACUGUGCUUA